GCCCAGGUGGCGGAACUGGCAGACGCGCUAGCUUGAGGGGCUAGUUCUCUUCGGGGAGUGGAGGUUCGAAUCCUCUCCUGGGCA
RNAcentral lists this transfer RNA (84 nucleotides) under Planctomycetota bacterium. RNAcentral describes it as "tRNA-Leu". It matches the Rfam family "tRNA". From Rfam's summary of the family: Transfer RNA (tRNA) molecules are approximately 80 nucleotides in length. Their secondary structure includes four short double-helical elements and three loops (D, anti-codon, and T loops). Lineage: Bacteria; Pseudomonadati; Planctomycetota. The record is from RNAcentral. RNAcentral also lists the same sequence under 1 other name.